UGAGAUCAAGAUAAUCGAAAAGCCGAACAGUCAAACUGAUGAGCUAAAUGCAUCUUUUCAAUCCACAGGGUAUCCAACCUACUCAAUAUAACUUCUGAUCCUCUCAAGUUCCUAAAGCAUCCCAUCUCUUUUCCUCAAGAACACAACUGCCUUUGGAUCACUCUGCAAGAAACCAUUAUCAAAGUUAAUUAACCUUUAAGCAAGAUAAAAUUUAGGGAGAAGAAUAUAGAGGAAAUGCAAAAAAGAAAAAAUCUCUUGGAAUUGACGAUACUUUUUGAAAAUUUUGGGAUUCAAUUGCACUUUCACGAUAAGUUUUAGAGCUUCUGGUGCAGUUAUUCUUUCAAUUGUUCGAUUUGCAACUACAAACAUAUUACAUCUAAUUCAGCUCUUAAUCAUCAAAUUCAAAUUAUUGCACUAUUUCAUUUACAUUGCCAAAAGACAUAUACAUAUAAUCUCCCUUUCCACAUCGUUAUAUAGAUAUAGAUUUUAGCACUUUUUGUUCCUACUGAUGCGGGCUUGUAAACUAAGCUACAAGGACUCAACGAAUUGGCUCUAUUCCACAAAAUUGGCUUCUAUUUCUCUGCAAGCCCUUCGGUCUCUCCUUUGUUUAGAUUCCCCUUGCCUAGGACUCUUUAGACCAUGUUCAUAAUUUCAAUAAAAUUUUCUUUGACCCAAAAAGGAAGAACUUCACCUUUUCUCUUGCCCUCAUAGGAUGAUCCCCAUGAGUCAAUUCUUUCUUUUCUUUCUUGGGUCCGUCCAACUUUAUUAAUGGUGCUUUAGUCUUCAAUAAGGGGCGGAGCUUGAAGAAGCGAAGCGAGCCUAUAGUAGUAGCAUAUUACGUUUUUCAGGCCCUUUGACUUGAUAUUCUAUUAGUCAAGCGUAAUCGUCCCUAUAUAGUCAGGCUCUUUUGCUAUUAAUGAAACCGAAAGACAGACAAAACCAGUGCUUUUUGUAAACAUGUGAUUCACAUCUAUGACUUACGAUUAAUACAACACAAGGACUCAUUAUAAAACACUUAUUACAACAUCAUGACUCAUCUUAAAAUAUUUAUUACAACAUGGCUCAUCUUCGUGAUUUAUCACAACAUGAAUUUUUUUUUUUUAAAUUUGAAAGAAGAUUAUAUUCAUUACUCAAAAUGAUACAUAAGUACAUAGUGUUCAUGACAGAACAAAUCAAAACAGAGCAAGAAUAGUGAAAAGCAAAGCCAAAUCCAGAAAACGAGGAUCAAUGGAACACCAGCAAAGUUAACCACACACUUGUUCCAAGAGAACAUAUUUGUUGAGCAAAAUAAUUAGCAACCAAUCACUGGAUCUCGUAUCUUUAUCAAUGAUGAGCACAUGCUUAAAAUUCCUUCUCCAAUAACUAUGACUUUGCCAAUUGGUGGUGCGCACAUAGUUUCGGCCUUUACGCCAUCAUCUUACGGAGAUAACCAAAUUAGGUUGAACGAGUACAAUCUACCAUGUGGAGGAGCAAAACUUUACGAUUCAAUAAGACGUCAAAACUCUUGCAAUCAUCAUUAAAACUGGAGGCAAAGAACCUAUACACAAACAUAGCAGAGGGGCAUUGAAUCCCUAAAAACAUAUUUAUUAAACUCCCAGAUCUAGAUCAGGAGAUGAUAGCAUCCAAAUAUGGAACUAAAUUGUGAGAAUUCAAAUUCUUAAAUUGAGAACUAGACCGAGAGAAGAGAACUCCCAAAUUUGAAUCGGGAGAGAAAAAAAAAAGGCAAGAAAAGAACAAUAAAAUGCAAACAAAAUCAACAAAAGAGGGGAGGGUGAGACUAGCUUAAACCCUUCCUCAUGGCUAAAGGUUGAAGAAACCGAUGGAGAGAGAGAGGGAGGGGGGGGCAGCUCCCAUCAUAACGUAACUUAUUAACGUGACAUAUAUGGCAAUGUAAUUCAUCAACGUGACAUUUAUCACA
Molecule: long non-coding RNA, 1918 nt
Filed under: Eucalyptus grandis
Lineage: Eukaryota; Viridiplantae; Streptophyta; Magnoliopsida; Myrtales; Myrtaceae
Description: long non-coding RNA (EGRA_LNC007000)
Source: RNAcentral